This 440-nucleotide ribosomal RNA is filed under the name uncultured bacterium. RNAcentral describes it as "bacterial SSU rRNA". It matches the Rfam family "Bacterial small subunit ribosomal RNA", at positions 29 to 511 of the family's 1533-position model. The record is from RNAcentral.
AACGAACGCUGGCGGCAUGCCUAACACAUGCAAGUCGAACGAGACCUUCGGGUCUAGUGGCGCACGGGUGCGUAACGCGUGGGAAUCUGCCCUUUGCUUCGGAAUAACAGUUAGAAAUGACUGCUAAUACCGGAUGAUGUCUUCGGACCAAAGAUUUAUCGGCAAAGGAUGAGCCCGCGUAAGGAUUAGGUAGUUGGUGGGGUAAAGGCCUACCAAGCCGACGAUCCUUAGCUGGUCUGAGAGGAUGAUCAGCCACACUGGGACUGAGACACGGCCCAGACUCCUACGGGAGGCAGCAGUGGGGAAUAUUGGACAAUGGGCGCAAGCCUGAUCCAGCAAUGCCGCGUGAGUGAUGAAGGCCUUCGGGUCGUAAAGCUCUUUACCAGGGAAGUGAUAAUGACAGUACCUGGAGAAUAAGACUCCGGCUAACUCCGUGCCAG